GAGUUUGAUCCUGGCUCAGAUUGAACGCUGGCGGCAUGCCUUACACAUGCAAGUCGAACGGCAGCGCGGGGCAACCUGGCGGCGAGUGGCGAACGGGUGAGUAAUAUAUCGGAACGUACCCUGGAGUGGGGGAUAACGUAGCGAAAGUUACGCUAAUACCGCAUACGAUCUAAGGAUGAAAGCAGGGGACCGCAAGGCCUUGUGCUCCUGGAGCGGCCGAUAUCUGAUUAGCUAGUUGGUGGGGUAAAGGCCUACCAAGGCAUCGAUCAGUAGCUGGUCUGAGAGGACGACCAGCCACACUGGAGCUGAGACACGGUCCAGACUCCUACGGGAGGCAGCAGUGGGGAAUUUUGGACAAUGGGCGAAAGCCUGAUCCAGCAAUGCCGCGUGAGUGAAGAAGGCCUUCGGGUUGUAAAGCUCUUUUGUCAGGGAAGAAACGGUGAGGGCUAAUAUCCCUUGCUAAUGACGGUACCUGAAGAAUAAGCACCGGCUAACUACGUGCCAGCAGCCGCGGUAAUACGUAGGGUGCAAGCGUUAAUCGGAAUUACUGGGCGUAAAGCGUGCGCAGGCGGUUUUGUAAGUCUGUCGUGAAAUCCCCGGGCUCAACCUGGGAAUUGCGAUGGAGACUGCAAGGCUAGAAUCUGGCAGAGGGGGGUAGAAUUCCACGUGUAGCAGUGAAAUGCGUAGAGAUGUGGAGGAACACCGAUGGCGAAGGCAGCCCCCUGGGUCAAGAUUGACGCUCAUGCACGAAAGCGUGGGGAGCAAACAGGAUUAGAUACCCUGGUAGUCCACGCCCUAAA
RNAcentral lists this ribosomal RNA (800 nucleotides) under uncultured bacterium. RNAcentral describes it as "bacterial SSU rRNA". It matches the Rfam family "Bacterial small subunit ribosomal RNA", at positions 9 to 806 of the family's 1533-position model. The record is from RNAcentral.